This 463-nucleotide ribosomal RNA is filed under the name uncultured bacterium. RNAcentral's name for it is "partial 16S ribosomal RNA". It matches the Rfam family "Bacterial small subunit ribosomal RNA", at positions 28 to 507 of the family's 1533-position model. The record is from RNAcentral.
GACGAACGCUGGCGGCGUGCUUAACACAUGCCAGUCGAACGGAAAAGCCUUUUCGGAGGUACUCGAGUGGCGAACGGGUGAGUAACACGUGGGUGAUCUGCCCUGCACUCUGGGAUAAGCCUGGGAAACUGGGUCUAAUACCGGAUAGGACCGCACUUUAGUGUGUGUGGUGGAAAGUUUUUUCGGUGUAGGAUGAGCCCGCGGCCUAUCAGCUUGUUGGUGGGGUAAUGGCCUACCAAGGCGGCGACGGGUAGCCGGACUGAGAGGUUGGUCGGCCACAUUGGGACUGAGAUACGGCCCAGACUCCUACGGGAGGCAGCAGUGGGGAAUAUUGCACAAUGGGCGCAAGCCUGAUGCAGCGACGCCGCGUGGGGGAUGACGGCCUUCGGGUUGUAAACUCCUUUCGCCAGGGACGAAGCGUUUUGUGACGGUACCUGGAGAAGAAGCACCGGCUAACUACGUG